RNAcentral lists this ribosomal RNA (220 nucleotides) under uncultured bacterium. RNAcentral describes it as "partial 16S ribosomal RNA". It matches the Rfam family "Bacterial small subunit ribosomal RNA", at positions 524 to 742 of the family's 1533-position model. The record is from RNAcentral.
UACGUAGGUGGCAAGCGUUGUCCGGAAUUAUUGGGCGUAAAGCGCGCGCAGGUGGUUUCUUAAGUCUGAUGUGAAAGCCCACGGCUCAACCGUGGAGGGUCAUUGGAAACUGGGGAACUUGAGUGCAGGAGAGAAGAGUGGAAUUCCACGUGUAGCGGUGAAAUGCGUAGAGAAUGUGGAGGAACACCAGUGGCGAAGGCGACUCUUUGGCCUGUAACUG